RNAcentral lists this ribosomal RNA (241 nucleotides) under uncultured bacterium. RNAcentral's name for it is "partial 16S ribosomal RNA". The record is from RNAcentral.
AUAAACGCUGGCGGCGUGCCUAAUACAUGCAAGUUGAGCGGUAAGGUUCUGCACCCACUAUUUGACCAGAUGAGUCUCCCGCAAGGGAGAUACUAUCUGCAGCGAUAACUUCUGGCUGAAGUUAUAGUCGAAUGAUGAGUGUAGAAUACACGAGCGGCGACGGCAGAGUAACGCGUAGGAACGUACCCAACAGAGGCAUAAGACACCGGAAACGGUGUCAAUACCGCAUAAUAUCUUCGGA